GACGAACGUUGGCGGCGUGCUUAACACAUGCAAGUCGAGCGGUAAGGCCCUUUCGGGGUACACGAGCGGCGAACGGGUGAGUAACACGUGGGUGACCUGCCCUCAGCUCUGGGAUAAGCCUGGGAAACCGGGUCUAAUACCGGAUAUGACUCCACGACGCAUGUUGUGGGGUGGAAAGCCUUGUGCGGCUGGGGAUGGGCCCGCGGCCUAUCAGCUUGUUGGUGGGGUGAUGGCCUACCAAGGCGA
This 246-nucleotide ribosomal RNA is filed under the name uncultured Actinomycetes bacterium. Its description in RNAcentral is "uncultured actinobacterium partial 16S ribosomal RNA". It matches the Rfam family "Bacterial small subunit ribosomal RNA", at positions 28 to 276 of the family's 1533-position model. Lineage: Bacteria; Bacillati; Actinomycetota; Actinomycetes. The record is from RNAcentral.